Molecule: ribosomal RNA, 433 nt
Filed under: uncultured Coriobacteriaceae bacterium
Lineage: Bacteria; Bacillati; Actinomycetota; Coriobacteriia; Coriobacteriales; Coriobacteriaceae
Description: bacterial SSU rRNA
Rfam family: Bacterial small subunit ribosomal RNA
Source: RNAcentral
ACGGAAGGCAGCAGUGGGGAAUUUUGCGCAAUGGGGGGAACCCUGACGCAGCAACGCCGCGUGCGGGACGGAGGCCUUCGGGUUGUAAACCGCUUUCAGCAGGGAAGACUUUGACGGUACCUGCAGAAGAAGCUCCGGCUAACUACGUGCCAGCAGCCGCGGUAAUACGUAGGGGGCGAGCGUUAUCCGGAUUCAUUGGGCGUAAAGCGCGCGUAGGCGGCGGCCUAAGCGGAACCUCUAACCUUGGGGCUCACCCUCAAGCCGGGUUCCGAACUGGGCCGCUCGAGUGCGGUAGGGGCAGGCGGAAUUCCACGUGUAGCGGUGAAAUGCGCAGAUAUGUGGAGGAACACCGAUGGCGAAGGCAGCCUGCUGGGCCGUCACUGACGCUGAGGCGCGAAAGCUGGGGGAGCGAACAGGAUUAGAUACCCUGGUA